ACUGAGUUUGGUGGUAUGCUCCUGUAGUUCCAGCUACUAAGGAGGCCGAAGCAAGAGGGGUGCUUGAGCCUAGGUGUUCUGGGCUGUGGUGAGCUAUGCUUAUCUGGUGUCUGCAUUAAGUAUGGCAUCAAUAUGGUGACCUCCCAGGGGCAAGGGAUCACCAGAUUGUCUAAGGAGGGGUGAACCCAUCCAGGUUGGAAUUGGAGAAGGUCAUAACUCUUGCUGAGCAGUCAUGCAAUCGCAACUGUCAAUAGCCACUGCACUCCAGCCUUGGCAACACAGUGAGAGCCCGUUUCU
Molecule: signal recognition particle RNA, 297 nt
Filed under: Saimiri boliviensis boliviensis (Bolivian squirrel monkey)
Lineage: Eukaryota; Metazoa; Chordata; Mammalia; Primates; Cebidae
Description: Metazoan signal recognition particle RNA (ENSSBOG00000000753.1)
Rfam family: Metazoan signal recognition particle RNA
About the family: The signal recognition particle (SRP) is a universally conserved ribonucleoprotein.
Source: RNAcentral